This 322-nucleotide ribosomal RNA is filed under the name Sandonidae sp. Its description in RNAcentral is "SSU rRNA". The stretch from base 112 to 322 matches the Rfam family "Eukaryotic small subunit ribosomal RNA", at positions 744 to 955 of the family's 1831-position model. Lineage: Eukaryota; Cercozoa; Glissomonadida; Sandonidae. The record is from RNAcentral.
GAUUUCUGGCCUGAAACAUUUUGCCGGCCGCGGUUUCGCGUGUUAGUGCUUGAUGUUCUGGCCAUCCUUCCAAUGGCUAUUCACUUUUCUUCAUUGAUGGGUGAGUGGUAUUGGAUCUUUUACUUUGAAAAAAUUAGAGUGUUUCAAGCAGGCUUUAUGCUAUGAAUACAUUAGCAUGGAAUAAUAAUUUAGGACUUCGGUUCUAUUUUGUUGGUUUCUAGGACUGAAGUAAUGAUUGAUAGGGAUAGUUGGGGGUGCUGGUAUUCAGCGGCCAGAGGUGAAAUUCUCGGAUUCGCUGAAGACCAACUUAUGCGAAAGCAUU